UCCCUGGUGGACUAGUGGUUAGCAUGCAUCACUCUGCUUGCCGUGGUCUGGGUUCGAUUCCCGGUCAGGGAA
Non-coding RNA from Pangasius djambal, 72 nucleotides. The record is from the annotation of a GenBank genome assembly. Lineage: Eukaryota; Metazoa; Chordata; Actinopteri; Siluriformes; Pangasiidae.